Molecule: non-coding RNA, 121 nt
Organism: Picea glauca (white spruce)
Lineage: Eukaryota; Viridiplantae; Streptophyta; Pinopsida; Pinales; Pinaceae
Source: Rfam
GUAGGUGACAUCAUACCAACGUUAAUGCACCAGAUCCCAUAAGAACUCCGCAGUUAAGUGUGAUUUGGCUAGAGUAGUACUAGGAUGGGUGACCUCUCGAGAAGUUCUAGUGUUGCACGCU